AGGCCAAUCAAACUGGGAGAUAGCUCGUACUCCCCGAAAUGCAUUUAGGUGCAGCGUCGAUGUUAAGUUUAUUAGAGGUAGAGCUACUGAUUGGAUGCGGGGGAGUCAAAUCCUACCAAUUCCUGACAAACUCCGAAUGCUAAUAAAUGUUUCGCAGCAGUGAGGGCAUGGGUGCUAAGGUCCAUGUCCGAGAGGGAAAGAACCCAGACCAUCAGCUAAGGUCCCCAAAUAUAUGCUAAGUUGAAAUAACGAGGUUUGUCUGCCCAGACAGCUAGGAUGUUGGCUUGGAAGCAGCCAUUCAUUUAAAGAGUGCGUAACAGCUCACUAGUCGAGCGUUCUUGCGCGGAAAAUGAUCGGGCAUCAAGAUAGUUACCGAAGCUUUGGAUCCGCUUAGGCGGAUGGUAGGGGAGCAUUCUAAUUGAGUUGAAGUUGAGUUGUAAAGCUUGGUGGAUUGAUUAGAAAAGAAAAUGUAGGCAUAAGUAACGAUAAGGAAGGUGAGAUCCCUUCCCGCCGUAAGACUAAGGUUUCCUUGAUCUAUGCUAAUCAGAUCAGGGUUAGUCGGGUCCUAAGGUGUAGCCGAGAGGCGAAGCCGAUGGAAAACGGGUUAAUAUUCCCGUACCUGUGUAUACUGCGAUGGGGUGACGGAGAAACGUAAGGACUGCGAACUGACGGAAUAGUUCGUUGAAGUAAGAAGGCGUUGAGAGUGUAGGCAAAUCCGCACUUGAGCUGAUGUACGAUAGUACAGGCUUCUGCAUGCAGGAGCUUGAUAAUGUCCCCAAGUAUGCUUCCAAGAAAAACCUCUAAGCACUAGGUAUAUACAGCCCGUACCGUAAACCGACACAGGUAGUCGAGGAGAGUAUCCUAAGGCGCUCGAGUGAAUCAUGGCUAAGGAAUUAGGCAAAAUGGCCUCGUAACUUCGGGAGAAGAGGCGCUCCGUGUAAAAAUGGAGCCGCAGUGAAAAGGCCCAGGCGACUGUUUAGCAAAAACACAGGACUCUGCGAAAUCGAAAGAUGAAGUAUAGGGUCUGACACCUGCCCGGUGCUGGAAGGUUAAGGAAGGUGCUUAGCGCAAGCGAAGGUAUUGACUGAAGCCCCAGUAAACGGCGGCCGUAACUAUAACGGUCCUAAGGUAGCGAAAUUCCUUGUCGGGUAAGUUCCGACCUGCACGAAUGGUGUAACGAUCUGGGCACUGUCUCAGCCAUGAGCUCGGUGAAAUUGAAGUAUCGGUGAAGAUGCCGGUUACCCGCAGUGGGACGAAAAGACCCCGUGCACCUUUACUAUAGCUUCACAUUGAGCUUGAGUAUAAGAUGUGUAGGAUAGGUGGGAGACUAUGAAGUGGUCACGCAAGUGAUUGUGGAGUCGCCGUUGAAAUACCACCCUUCUUAUACUUAGGUUCUAACCAUUGGAAAGAAUGGGACAUUGUGUGGUGGGUAGUUUGACUGGGGUGGUCGCCUCCAAAAGAGUAACGGAGGCUUGCAAAGGUUCCCUCAGCAUGGUCGGUAAUCAUGCGAAGAGCGUAUUAGUAUAAGGGAGCUUGACUGGGAGACCGACGGGUCGAUCAGGGACGAAAGUCGGCUAAAGUGAUCCGGUGGUUCCGUAUGGAAGGGCCAUCGCUCAAAGGAUAAAAGGUACGCCGGGGAUAACAGGCUGAUCUCCCCCAAGAGCUCACAUCGACGGGGAGGUUUGGCACCUCGAUGUCGGCUCGUCACAUCCUGGGGCUGGAGAAGGUCCCAAGGGUUGGGCUGUUCGCCCAUUAAAGUGGCACGCGAGCUGGGUUCAGAACGUCGCAAGACAGUUCGGUCUCUAUCUACUGUGGGCGUAGGAAUAUUGAGAAGAUCUGACACUAGUACGAGAGGACCGUGUUGGACAAACCUCUAGUGUACCAGUUAUGCCGCCAGGUGUACCGCUGGGUAGCUAUGUUUGGAACGGAUAAGCGCUGAAAGCAUCUAAGCGCGAAGCCAACUUCAAGAUGAGUAUUCCAUUGUCUUCGGACUAAGAGGGUUGUUGUAGACUACGACGUUGAUAGGCUACAGGUGGAAGUGCAGUGAUGUAUGGAGCCGAGUAGUACUAAUUACCCGAAUGCUUCCUUUU
RNAcentral lists this ribosomal RNA (2090 nucleotides) under metagenome. Its description in RNAcentral is "bacterial LSU rRNA". It matches the Rfam family "Bacterial large subunit ribosomal RNA", at positions 826 to 2925 of the family's 2925-position model. The record is from RNAcentral.